Molecule: long non-coding RNA, 2627 nt
Organism: Gadus morhua (Atlantic cod)
Lineage: Eukaryota; Metazoa; Chordata; Actinopteri; Gadiformes; Gadidae
Source: Ensembl
AAAAACAAAAUAUGCCUUUAGAAUUAUCAACACUUGAUUUAAGGGAAUGCAUAUUGCAUUUUAACACCACCUUGUUCUUUCGUAGUCCCCAUGAAAUUAUGGAGGAGAUGCUCCAGAGGUGUCCUGAGGGCUGCCGGAACUUCAUUAGGGCACAACUGUCAGAGGCAGGGAAAAAGGACAGAGGGAGAAGGUUCAACAGGCACAUGAAGGAUCUAGGGCUGCAGCUGUUACACAGCAGCCCAAAGGCCUACCGUCAAAUGAAGGCCAUAUUCUCGCUUCCUUCUGGAAGGACACUUCGGCGUUACGUUAGCGCACGUGUGGGAUAUUUCUCUGUAAAUACGAAUUUAUUAAAUAAGACUACUCAACUUCGACCAGUUUCACAAUUUUAAGAUUGAACAAAAUCUGAUUAUUAACCUUUUAUUUCCUGACAGCCUGGCUUCCUACAGGGAAUCAUCUCCCAAAUGGGAGUCAUCGCCGCCACCAUGACCCCUGUGGAGAGGAUGUGUAUGCUCGUCCUGGACGAGAUGUCAAUCAAAAAACAAUUUGAUUAUGAUCGCAAGAACGAUGCCAUUUAUGGUGUAUCUGCAUCUGGGGCUGCAGCAAAACAAGCGAUGGUCGUCAUGGCUAGGGGCAUUAUGGGGAAAUGGAAGCAGGCAAGCCAUACCUUAGAAAAACAUUUGUUAUGAUAUUGCCGUGUAUAUUCAAACACAUUUACCUAAAGCAUGUCUUCCAACAGACGGUGGGUUACUUAUUUUCCUCAUCUUCAAUGCCAGCAGAUGAUAUUGCUACCGUCAUUAAGGAUGCCAUUCGCCACCUACAUCAUAUAGGGCUGACAGUGCAGGCAGUAAUAUGUGACCAGGGAAGCCCUAAUGUGAAGGCUGUGCGGAACCUUGGGGCUAGCCUGGACCCUCUGGGAGGUGAGGAGUCAGGCCCGGUUCUACGGGGGUGCAUAAGCAUGCAUUGCACCCCCAAAAAAGGUUACCCCCUUGUUGCACCCUCAAUUGAAAAAAUAAAAAUAAUAAAAAAAUAUUUUUUUUUUAUAAAUAUGAUAAAAAUAAUGAAAUACUUGCUCACAAAACAAAUUGUAAUGAAACUUGUGACAAUUUCCAUUAAAUAGCGUUGAGAUAUGAGCAUCCAACAUCUCUCUGACUGUUCACCAAACUGACAAAAUCACUCCGCAUUUAUGUAUGGUGUUUUGUUUAUAUGUUGCUUGGCAACACUCCGCUCAGUGGGGAUCUAUUUUUGCUGCCGGAAGCAAUUUCAUUCGUUUAUAUGAUUAAAUAAACUAACAAAUCACAAUCUAUUGUCAAUUAUUAUUAUUAACAGUACAUUUUACUAGUAUGUCCGAUGUUGUAUAAAGCAAUAUCACACUCGAGGUUGCAAUGUUGUCGCUCUAUAUCAGCGCUGCUGUGAUUGGCCGCCGGCCGGCAUCGUGUGUCAUGCCGGCGUCGUGUGCAAAAUGCACGCACCCAUAUCUAUGGUGCGCACGGUAGUGACGUUGAACUUCUUCGGCAGCAACAGUUGGAUAUCCAAUACAUGUAUUAAAUGUAUUAUGUUCAUAAGAACCCAUAUUUCUUUUUAUUGCAUUUAUUUACAAUCGUGUUAACUUUAAGAGUAUUAUACUGAUUAGUUUUUGUUCAAAGUUCAAAGUCUGAAGUGUUCUUUCCUUGUUCAGCUAAAAUCUGUUUUAUUUUUAAGUGGCAAUGUACAAUUAUUUGUUAUGUCAAAUAUCCUGCCACAAUUUAUAAAAAAAUAAACGUUAUUUUUGAAUUGCAGUCACAUGUUUUCUUUUUAGUGUAGAAUUCUGUUCUUUUUUACACCUCACACAUCACACUUAUCAAAAACCUAUCUCAUAUUCAAAGCUAUCUAAGAUAUCAAUAAGCUAAUGUUGCAGCUGAAAUGUUCUCCACAUCACAAGACAUGAUACGAUACCAUCUUUUAAGCACAGUAAUUGUUUGUUGUCCCAACAUGUCAGUAGAACUACGCAGAAGUGCUUGUCUAUGGUAGGAAAGGCCUAUGUGUAAAAAAGCGAAGUCUGAACUGAAGCUGGGUAGCUGGUUUUUGUAUAGUACUGGUGCACCCCCUGUAAUCUCAGAUGCACCCCAAGGCAUUCUGUUCUGGAACCGGGCCUGUGAUGAGUCCCACUGUAUCCUGGUGGGGGUUCAGAGGGUUCCUGUGAUUUUUGAUGUCCCUCACCUUCUGAAAUCAAUCAGGAACAACCUGUUCAAACAUGCCCUACAGGUAAGCACAGUAAACAAAGCAAUCACAAUUGCAAGGACUCAUACUGAACAUACAAGAUAUCACAAUGAUUCACAUAUGUAUGUAUUUACAUCCUUAGACACAAGGAAAAACGGUUCUUUGGAAGCACAUCAGCCAAUUCUAUGAGCUGGACAAGCUCCACACUAUUCGGAUGGCCCCGAAGCUUACUGAUAAGCACAUUCUGCUGCCAGCAUUUUCCAAGAUGCGUGUCUGCACAGGUGUUCAGCCACACUGUCUCUGCUGGUAAAUUUUUUCAUCUUCUCAAAAACUUUUCUUCAAUUACUAACAGCAGAUUGUAAUGUGACACUGACCACCUAUUCAAUGGUCGUAUCUGUUGUGAUCCAGGCAUUUCUGCGAUGGUAACAUUG